RNAcentral lists this transfer RNA (24 nucleotides) under Sonneratia caseolaris. RNAcentral's name for it is "partial tRNA-Met". RNAcentral also lists the same sequence under 1 other name. The record is from RNAcentral. Lineage: Eukaryota; Viridiplantae; Streptophyta; Magnoliopsida; Myrtales; Lythraceae.
GCCUACUUAACUCAGUGGUAGAGU